This 293-nucleotide ribosomal RNA is filed under the name uncultured bacterium. RNAcentral describes it as "partial 16S ribosomal RNA". It matches the Rfam family "Archaeal small subunit ribosomal RNA", at positions 455 to 747 of the family's 1478-position model. The record is from RNAcentral.
GUGCCAGCCGCCGCGGUAAUACCGGCAGCCCAAGUGAUGGCCACUCUUAUUGGGCCUAAAGCGUCCGUAGCCGGCCUCGCAAGUCCGUCGGGAAAUCCAGUAGCUCAACUACUGGGCGUCCGGCGGAAACUACAAGGCUUGGGACCGGAAGGCUCGAGAGGUACGUCCGGGGUAGGAGUGAAAUCCCGUAAUCCCGAACGGACCACCGAUGGCGAAAGCAUCGCGAGAAAACGGAUCCGACAGUGAGGGACGAAAGCUAGGGGCUCGAACCGGAUUAGAAACCCUAGUAGUCC